RNAcentral lists this ribosomal RNA (478 nucleotides) under uncultured bacterium. RNAcentral describes it as "partial 16S ribosomal RNA". It matches the Rfam family "Bacterial small subunit ribosomal RNA", at positions 28 to 523 of the family's 1533-position model. The record is from RNAcentral.
GACGAACGCUGGCGGCGUGCUUAACACAUGCAAGUCGAACGGUAAGGCCCUUCGGGGUACACGAGUGGCGAACGGGUGAGUAACACGUGGGUGAUCUGCCCUGCACUUCGGGAUAAGCCUGGGAAACUGGGUCUAAUACCGGAUAGGACCACUGCCUGCAUGGGUGGUGGUGGAAAGCUUUUGCGGUGUGGGAUGGGCCCGCGGCCUAUCAGCUUGUUGGUGGGGUGAUGGCCUACCAAGGCGACGACGGGUAGCCGGCCUGGGAGGGUGACCGGCCACACUGGGCCGGGGAUACGGCCCAGACUCCUACGGGAGGCAGCAGUGGGGAAUAUUGCACAAUGGGCGCAAGCCUGAUGCAGCGACGCCGCGUGAGGGAUGACGGCCUUCGGGUUGUAAACCUCUUUCAGCACCGACGAAGCGCAAGUGACGGUAGGUGCAGAAGAAGGACCGGCCAACUACGUGCCAGCAGCCGCGGUAA